Molecule: ribosomal RNA, 798 nt
Filed under: uncultured bacterium
Lineage: Bacteria
Description: bacterial SSU rRNA
Rfam family: Bacterial small subunit ribosomal RNA
Source: RNAcentral
AGAGUUUGAUCAUGGCUCAGAACGAACGCUGGCGGCACGUUUUAAGCAUGCAAGUCGAACGGCAGUGGGGGCUUGCUCCCAUGAGAGUGGCGAACGGGUGAGUAACACGUAGGUGAUCUGCCUUGAGGAUGGGGAUAGCCUGUGGAAACACAGGGUAAUACCGAAUGAGCUGACGGGGCUUUGGCCAAGUUAGUAAAGGUGCUACGGCACCGCCUUGAGAGGAGCCUGCGGCUGAUUAGCUAGUUGGUGGGGUAAAGGCCUACCAAGGCGACGAUCAGUAGCCGGCCUGAGAGGGUGUACGGCCACACUGGAACUGAGACACGGUCCAGACUCCUACGGGAGGCAGCAGCUAAGAAUCUUCCGCAAUGGGCGAAAGCCUGACGGAGCGAUGCCGCGUGAUCGAUGAAGGUCGAGAGAUUGUAAAGAUCUUUUACAGCUGAGGAAUAAGUGUGGGAGGGAAUGCCCGCAUGAUGACGUUAAGCUGUGAAUAAGCCCCGGCUAAUUACGUGCCAGCAGCCGCGGUAACACGUAAGGGGCGAGCGUUGUUCGGAAUUAUUGGGCGUAAAGGGCACGCAGGCGGUUAUACAAGUCCGAUGUUAAAGACCUGGGCUUAACUCAGGGAAUGCGUUGGAAACUGUAUGACUAGAAUCUUGGAGGGGGAGUCGGAAUUCCUAGUGUAGGGGUGAAAUCUGUUGAUAUUAGGAAGAACACCGGUGGCGAAGGCGGACUCCUGGCCGAAGAUUGACGCUGAGGUGCGAAAGCAUAGGGAGCAAACAGGAUUAGAUACCCCAGUAGUCC